AGAGUUGAUCCUGGCUUAGGACGAACGCUGGCGGCGUGCCUAACACAUGCAAGUCGAGCGAGGAGAUUCCUUCGGGAUGAUCCUAGCGGCGGACGGGUGAGUAACACGUGGGCAACCUGCCUCAUAGAGAGGAAUAGCCUUCCGAAAGGGAGAUUAAUACCUCAUAACAUUGCAGUUUCGCAUGGAACAGCAAUUAAAGGAGUAAUCCGCUAUGAGAUGGGCCCGCGGCGCAUUAGCUAGUUGGUGAGGUAACGGCUCACCAAGGCGACGAUGCGUAGCCGACCUGAGAGGGUGAUCGGCCACAUUGGGACUGAGACACGGCCCAGACUCCUACGGGAGGCAGCAGUGGGGAAUAUUGCACAAUGGGGGAAACCCUGAUGCCAGCAACGCCGCGUGAGUGAUGACGGCCUUCGGGUUGUAAAGCUCUGUCUUCAGGGACGAUAAUGACGGUACCUGAGGAGGAAGCCACGGCUAACUACGUGCCAGCCGCCGC
Molecule: ribosomal RNA, 493 nt
Filed under: uncultured bacterium
Lineage: Bacteria
Description: bacterial SSU rRNA
Rfam family: Bacterial small subunit ribosomal RNA
Source: RNAcentral